Molecule: ribosomal RNA, 446 nt
Filed under: uncultured bacterium
Lineage: Bacteria
Description: bacterial SSU rRNA
Rfam family: Bacterial small subunit ribosomal RNA
Source: RNAcentral
AUCCAGACUCCUACGGGAGGCAGCAGUGGGGAAUAUUGCACAAUGGGGGAAACCCUGAUGCAGCGACGCCGCGUGGGUGACGAAGUAUUUCGGUAUGUAAAGCCAUAUCAGCAGGGAAGAAGAUGACAGUACCUGACUAAGAAGCCCCGGCUAACUACGUGCCAGCAGCCGCGGUAAUACGUAGGGGGCAAGCGUUAUCCGGAUUUACUGGGUGUAAAGGGAGCGUAGACGGCAAUACAAGUCGGAAGUGAAAUACCCGGGCUCAACCUGGGAACUGCUUUGGAAACUGUAUGGCUAGAGUGCUGGAGAGGUAAGCGGAAUUCCUAGUGUAGCGGUGAAAUGCGUAGAUAUUAGGAGGAACACCAGUGGUGAAGGCGGCUUACUGGACAGUAACUGACGUUGAGGCUCGAAAGCGUGGGGAGCAAACAGGAUUAGAUACCCGCGUA